Molecule: long non-coding RNA, 525 nt
Organism: Mesocricetus auratus (golden hamster)
Lineage: Eukaryota; Metazoa; Chordata; Mammalia; Rodentia; Cricetidae
Exons: 4
Source: RefSeq, a predicted model, not a curated record
CCCUUGGCCAAAUCUGCCAUCCCUGCUCUUUAUAGAGAAAAGAACAAAGCUGCCUGAUUACUGCUAGAACAGUUUGCCAGGACCUGUGGACAAACAGCACCAUGCAGAGGGCUAAGGCACAGCCCACACAGCUCUGCUAAUUUGCCCCCAAGAGGUGGAGAAGAAGAAGAAAGGCAGCAGGGGGGAGAGGAGAGAUGUUCAGAGCAUGGAAUAAAUUACUCUUCCUACAGUUCCAAGAGCUCAGAGUCUGGAGUGAGAGCAAGGAGGGAAGGAAUGAGGAAGGCACGGGCAGCUGAACAGGACCAGCCUGAAUCUUGCCUCCCGGGGCUCCUGCUCUAAAAUGGAAAAGAGAUGACCAACAGAUCAGAAAAAUACCUGCAUCAUUACCAUGGCAGUCCAUGCCGUGAAGGACCGGAUACAGGCAAGGAACUCAGUGCUCACUAGCAAGUCACUCCGUCUCCCUCUGUCCACUCAUCCACGGGCAGAAUCUGAGAUCAAGGUCGUGAGAUGGAAACCUGAGGCCAC